GGGCCCGUGGCUCAGCCUGGUCAGAGCGCCCGCUGAUAAGCGGGAGGUCCGGGGUUCGAAGCCCCGCGGGCCCACCA
This 77-nucleotide transfer RNA is filed under the name Thermococcus piezophilus. RNAcentral's name for it is "tRNA-OTHER". It matches the Rfam family "tRNA". Rfam says of the family: Transfer RNA (tRNA) molecules are approximately 80 nucleotides in length. Their secondary structure includes four short double-helical elements and three loops (D, anti-codon, and T loops). Further hydrogen bonds mediate the characteristic L-shaped molecular structure. tRNAs have two regions of fundamental functional importance: the anti-codon, which is responsible for specific mRNA codon recognition, and the 3' end, to which the tRNAs corresponding amino acid is attached (by aminoacyl-tRNA synthetases). tRNAs cope with the degeneracy of the genetic code in two manners: having more than one tRNA (with a specific anti-codon) for a particular amino acid; and 'wobble' base-pairing, i.e. permitting non-standard base-pairing at the 3rd anti-codon position. The record is from RNAcentral. Lineage: Archaea; Methanobacteriati; Methanobacteriota; Thermococci; Thermococcales; Thermococcaceae.